UGGGGAAUCUUGCGCAAUGGGCGAAAGCCUGACGCAGCAACGCCGCGUGAGCGAAGACGGCCUUCGGGUUGUAAAGCUCUGUCAGGAGGGACGAAGCCACUCAGGUGAAUAGCCGAGAGGGUGACGGUACCUCCAGAGGAAGCCCCGGCUAACUACGUGCCAGCAGCCGCGGUAAUACGUAGGGGGCAAGCGUUGUCCGGAAUCAUUGGGCGUAAAGCGCGUGUAGGCGGCCAUCCAAGUCUGGUGUGAAAGCUCGGGGCUCAACCCCGAGUCUGCACUGGAAACUGGAUGGCUUGAGUCCGGAAGAGGAGACUGGAAUUCCUGGUGUAGCGGUGAAAUGCGCAGAUAUCAGGAAGAACACCGGUGGCGAAGGCGGGUCUCUGGGACGGUACUGACGCUGAGACGCGAAAGCGUGGGGAGCAAACA
Molecule: ribosomal RNA, 426 nt
Filed under: uncultured prokaryote
Description: bacterial SSU rRNA
Rfam family: Bacterial small subunit ribosomal RNA
Source: RNAcentral